Molecule: ribosomal RNA, 253 nt
Filed under: uncultured bacterium
Lineage: Bacteria
Description: partial 16S ribosomal RNA
Rfam family: Bacterial small subunit ribosomal RNA
Source: RNAcentral
UACGUAGGGGGCAAGCGUUGUCCGGAGUUACUGGGCGUAAAGCGCACGCAGGCGGUCUCUUAAGUUUGGAGUGACAGUUGGUGGCUUAACUGCCAAAGUGCUUCGAAAACUGAGAGACUUGAGGGCUUCAGAGGGACACGGAAUUCCGGGUGGAGUGGUGAAAUGCGUAGAGAUCCGGAGGAACACCAAAGGCGAAGGCAGUGUCCUGGGGAGUACCUGACGCUCAGGUGCGAAAGCGUGGGGAGCAAACAGG